RNAcentral lists this ribosomal RNA (504 nucleotides) under uncultured bacterium. RNAcentral describes it as "partial 16S ribosomal RNA". It matches the Rfam family "Bacterial small subunit ribosomal RNA", at positions 28 to 523 of the family's 1533-position model. The record is from RNAcentral.
GAUGAACGCUAGCGGCAGGCCUAAUACAUGCAAGUCGAACGGGAUUGCGGUGUAGCUUGCUACACUGCAUGAGAGUGGCGCACGGGUGCGUAACGCGUGGGCAACCUGCCCAUAUCAGGGGGAUAGCCCGGAGAAAUCCGGAUUAACACCGCAUGUUACAGUAUUACCGCAUGGUAUAGCUGUUAAAUAUUUAUAGGAUAUGGAUGGGCUCGCGUGACAUUAGCUAGUUGGUGGGGUAACGGCCCACCAAGGCGACGAUGUCUAGGGGCUCUGAGAGGAGAAUCCCCCACACUGGUACCGAGACACGGACCAGACUCCUACGGGAGGCAGCAGUAAGGAAUAUUGGUCAAUGGGCGGAAGCCUGAACCAGCCAUGCCGCGUGCAGGACGACUGCCCUAUGGGUUGUAAACUGCUUUUGUACGGGAAUAACCCUCUCUACGAGUAGAGAGCUGAACGUACCGUAAGAAUAAGGAUCGGCUAACUCCGUGCCAGCAGCCGCGGUAA